CAUUGUACGGACACAGAAGUUACUAGGAUGGUAGCUUGCAAAGGACAGCAAUGGACACCUCUAGGAUAGAGGAAAGGAUUAACAUCAGGAUGAUGUCAGGGACACCGCUCAAGGAACAAGUGAGUAAUACCAGUAAGGAUAUUGGUCUGCCAGGAUGGGGCUUUGGACACCGCUAGGAAGGCGUGAAAGGAUUAAGCUUAGGAUAAGCAUACUUAUCAUGGAAUAGAUGCAUGGAGCACUUUUAGUAGCUGGAUUGCUGCAAGUAAGGUCAUAACCCCGAAGAGCGAAAGCUCUCGGGGUUUUUCUUUUU
Molecule: non-coding RNA, 310 nt
Filed under: Vibrio ezurae NBRC 102218
Lineage: Bacteria; Pseudomonadati; Pseudomonadota; Gammaproteobacteria; Vibrionales; Vibrionaceae
Source: RNAcentral